This is a long non-coding RNA of Cottoperca gobio, 784 nucleotides long. RefSeq lists it as uncharacterized. Lineage: Eukaryota; Metazoa; Chordata; Actinopteri; Perciformes; Bovichtidae. The record is from RefSeq and is a predicted model, not a curated record. The transcript is spliced from 2 exons.
GGUGAAACAGAUCAGGGCGGGGCAGGCAAUCACACAGGCGGGAAACACACGAGAGCAGCAAGUGAAGUAUUUGAAACGAGAGACAAGGUCAAGCAACGCAGUGCUUACACUGGCUGAAUGACUCAGUGCCCUCCUGUCCCCUCUCGGAAAGUUGUCCUGCGCUGAAUGGAUGCCUCAGACAUCUGCGACGACAGAAAGUAACCGAUGAAGGUCAACUAUCCAUCAGGCCCUGAGGAUGGAGAAAAGUCUGGGCCACUGAAUGAACAUUUAAAUGAUGAAUGUAUGUAGCAGAUGGACAUAAAUCCUAGAAUAAAUGCUGACCAAAUGUUUUCUUUUUAACAUCAAUACUGUCUACUAGACCUAAUAAGCUAUAGGACAUCUUUGUUAAAAAUGCUUGGACUAAGACAGCACUACGCAGAAUUUGAAUACCUUUACAAAUAUUGCUUUACUUACAUGCCUGUGCCUGAGAAUCAAUUAUAAAAGUGCUAUUGCUGCAAUUCUUAUUGAACUUGAUUUGUUAGGGCACACUUGUCAAAUAUUUCCAGCUGAGAUUAGUUUCAUAUAUAAAUCAUUUUUGUCCUGAAAGCGACCUCUAGUCUCAACUUCGCACAAGAGCAACAGGAUGAAACUGCAAAGCCACUUGAAUGAACACCCAUAAUAUUCUAGUCAUUACAUCAUUACAAUAACAGAUGAGCAAGACUGUAACGUAGUUACUGGUUCAAUAUUUAACUGCAAGCCAGCAGCCCUUUGCCAAUGAGGGAACAGAGCAACAACUGUGCCAGUU